Molecule: ribosomal RNA, 468 nt
Filed under: uncultured bacterium
Lineage: Bacteria
Description: partial 16S ribosomal RNA
Rfam family: Bacterial small subunit ribosomal RNA
Source: RNAcentral
GACGAACGCUGGCGGCGUGCUUAACACAUGCAAGUCGAACGGAAAGGCCCUGCUUUUGUGGGGUGCUCGAGUGGCGAACGGGUGAGUAACACGUGAGUAACCUGCCCUUGACUUUGGGAUGACUUCAGGAAACUGGGGCUAAUACCGGAUAGGAGCUCCUGCUGCAUGGUGGGGGUUGGAAAGUUUCGGCGGUUGGGGAUGGACUCGCGGCUUAUCAGCUUGUUGGUGGGGUAGUGGCUUACCAAGGCUUUGACGGGUAGCCGGCCUGAGAGGGUGACCGGCCACAUUGGGACUGAGAUACGGCCCAGACUCCUACGGGAGGCAGCAGUGGGGAAUAUUGCACAAUGGGCGGAAGCCUGAUGCAGCAACGCCGCGUGCGGGAUGACGGCCUUCGGGUUGUAAACCGCUUUCGCCUGUGACGAAGCGUGAGUGACGGUAAUGGGUAAAGAAGCCCCGGCUAACUACGUG